CCUACGGGUGGCUGCAGUGGGGAAUAUUGGACAAUGGGCGAAAGCCUGAUCCAGCCAUGCCGCGUGUGUGAAGAAGGCCUUCGGGUUGUAAAGCACUUUCAGUGGGGAAGAAAGCCUUGGGGCUAAUACCCUCGAGGAAGGACAUCACCCACAGAAGAAGCACCGGCUAACUCCGUGCCAGCAGCCGCGGUAAUACGGAGGGUGCGAGCGUUAAUCGGAAUUACUGGGCGUAAAGCGCGCGUAGGCGGUCUGAUAAGCCGGUUGUGAGAGCCCCGGGCUCAACCUGGGAACGGCAUCCGGAACUGUCAGGCUAGAGUGCAGGAGAGGAAGGUAGAAUUCCCGGUGUAGCGGUGAAAUGCGUAGAGAUCGGGAGGAAUACCAGUGGCGAAGGCGGCCUUCUGGACUGACACUGACGCUGAGGUGCGAAAGCGUGGGUAGCAAACAGGAUUAGAUACCCCAGUAGUC
RNAcentral lists this ribosomal RNA (465 nucleotides) under Vreelandella stevensii. RNAcentral's name for it is "partial 16S ribosomal RNA". It matches the Rfam family "Bacterial small subunit ribosomal RNA", at positions 338 to 795 of the family's 1533-position model. The record is from RNAcentral. Lineage: Bacteria; Pseudomonadati; Pseudomonadota; Gammaproteobacteria; Oceanospirillales; Halomonadaceae.